Molecule: ribosomal RNA, 497 nt
Filed under: uncultured bacterium
Lineage: Bacteria
Description: bacterial SSU rRNA
Rfam family: Bacterial small subunit ribosomal RNA
Source: RNAcentral
ACUCAAAGGAAUAGACGGGGGCCCGCACAAGCGGCGGAGCAUGCGGAUUAAUUCGAUGCAACGCGAAGAACCUUACCAAGGCUUGACAUCACCCGGAAUCGGCCAGAGAUGGUCGCGUCUUCGGACUGGGUGACAGGUGGUGCAUGGUUGUCGUCAGCUCGUGUCGUGAGAUGUUGGGUUAAGUCCCGCAACGAGCGCAACCCUUGUCUCAUGUUGCCAGCGGGUUAUGCCGGGGACUCAUGGGAGACUGCCGGGGCCAACUCGGAGGAAGGUGGGGAUGACGUCAAAUCAUCAUGCCCCUUAUGUCUUGGGCUUCACGCAUGCUACAAUGGCCGGUACAACGGGUUGCGAUACUGUGAGGUGGAGCGAAUCCCUAAAAGCCGGUCUCAGUUCGGAUUGGGGUCUGCAACUCGACCCCAUGAAGUCGGAGUCGCUAGUAAUCGCAGAUCAGCAACGCUGCGGUGAAUACGUUCCCGGGCCUUGUACACACCGCCCGU